ACGGCCGCNAGUACCCCUGUACUGUGCAAAGGUAGCAUAAUCAAUUGCCCUCUAAUUAAGGGCUUGUAUGAAUGGACCUACGAGCUUCUUCCUAUAUUUGUUUUUUAAUGAAACCUAAUUAAUGAGUGAAAAAGCUCAUAUUAAACUGAAAGACAAGAAGACCCUAUAGAGCUUAACCUAACAGUUAUUUAUUAUAACCAUAAGUUUAGUUGGGGCAACUAACACUCAACCAAGCACUUUUACCCCCCCCGGCCUUWCGCCUUCCACCAGAUCCAAAAAAUUGAUCUAUAGAAAUAGCUACCUUAGGGAUAACAGGCUAAUUUCUUUUAAGAGCACAAAUUGACAAAGAAGUUUGGCACCUCGAUGUUGGYUNCUAGGUCSCCUGUACAGCGCAGCAGCUUACAAAGGUGGG
This 412-nucleotide ribosomal RNA is filed under the name Pseudopotamilla sp. 1 SMB-2010. RNAcentral's name for it is "partial 16S ribosomal RNA". It matches the Rfam family "Bacterial large subunit ribosomal RNA", at positions 1927 to 2575 of the family's 2925-position model. The record is from RNAcentral. Lineage: Eukaryota; Metazoa; Annelida; Polychaeta; Sabellida; Sabellidae.